RNAcentral lists this long non-coding RNA (547 nucleotides) under Erythranthe guttata (spotted monkey flower). RNAcentral's name for it is "long non-coding RNA (EGUT_LNC002646)". Lineage: Eukaryota; Viridiplantae; Streptophyta; Magnoliopsida; Lamiales; Phrymaceae. The record is from RNAcentral.
UGUAUAUUUCUCUCUCUCUCUCUCAAUCUUUAUCUCUCUAUUUUUCGACAUCGCUAUCUCUCUCUGUCUCUUUCGUUCUCCACCACUCCAAUCGACUAUUGAGAGGGGCGGUGGUUAUGGCGGUGGAGACGGCGGCAAUAAACGGAUGGUUGUAGAGGCAAGGAUACGGCGACUAUGGUGGUUUAAGGUCAGAUCUAUGGUGGAAGGCGUGGCGACGGUGUUGGGCAUAGAUGAUGGCGUGAUGGUGGCGCUCGGUGAUGGUGGUGGUGGUGGAUGGUGGUGGUGGAGGAGCGGAUCUAGGGUUUGGUGGAGAAAAUUUAAAAAAAAUCGAUUUGGAUGUCUAUGGGUGUCUAUGGGUCUGGCGGCUAGGGUUUGUAGGAGUUAGGGUUUCAAGAUGUCUAUUGGUGACUACGGAUUACUACAGUUUCCUAUGGGUUUCUGAAGAUGUCUACGACCGAAAAAAUUAAAAAAAGUCAUAAUUUUCACUUUAUGUAGAAAAGAAAGGGAAAAAAAAACGUGUUCCACGUAAAAAAAAAAUGCUAGAUGC